Molecule: long non-coding RNA, 231 nt
Filed under: Setaria viridis
Lineage: Eukaryota; Viridiplantae; Streptophyta; Magnoliopsida; Poales; Poaceae
Description: long non-coding RNA (SVIR_LNC000548)
Source: RNAcentral
CCAACACGUGGUCGGGUUCAUCAUGCAUGUAUGAACAAUGAUGGGCUUUUGUGAUGCAUGUAUGCAGUAGUAGCAAUGUGUGUUGCAUGUUUAUGAACUCGUACGUUUCAUCAACUUUGUCAUAUGUAAUGUAAUUCAUCAUGUUUGUUCUAUGUCGAGAGACUCCUGUAAUUCCUAGAUUGUGGAAUGUAACCUAAGUUGUAGUAAGACAUUGUAAUAAUUCCAUACCGU